UGGGGAAUCUUCCGCAAUGGGCGAAAGCCUGACGGAGCAACGCCGCGUGAGUGAAGACGGCCUUCGGGUUGUAAAACUCUGUGAUUCGGGACGAAAGAUAAGCAGACGAAUAAUCUGCAUAAGUGACGGUACCGAAAAAGCAAGCCACGGCUAACUACGUGCCAGCAGCCGCGGUAAUACGUAGGUGGCAAGCGUUGUCCGGAAUUAUUGGGCGUAAAGCGCGCGCAGGUGGUUUAGAAAGUCUGAUGUGAAAGCCCACGGCUCAACCGUGGAGGGUCAUUGGAAACUAAUAAACUUGAGUGCAGGAGAGAAAAGUGGAAUUCCUAGUGUAGCGGUGAAAUGCGUAGAGAUUAGGAGGAACACCGGUGGCGAAAGCGGCUUUUUGGCCUGCAACUGACACUGAGGCGCGAAAGCGUGGGGAGCAAACAGG
Molecule: ribosomal RNA, 430 nt
Filed under: Verrucomicrobiota bacterium
Lineage: Bacteria; Pseudomonadati; Verrucomicrobiota
Description: Verrucomicrobia bacterium partial 16S ribosomal RNA
Rfam family: Bacterial small subunit ribosomal RNA
Source: RNAcentral